UUUCCAAAAAACCGGAGAACAAGAUUUUUUUUUGGAGGGUUCGGUUCAAUUCCAAAUGAAGCACCAAACUUAAAGGACUUUUAACGAAAGUUUCAUGGGAAGGGCCAAGUUCUGGUGCCAGCCAGCCGCGGUAAUUUCCAGCUCCCCAACGUGUAUUUCGUCAUUGCUGCGGGUUAAAAAGCUCGUAGUUGGAUCUUAGCUCAUGUCGGUAGUUCUCCAUGUGAGAUACUGCUCGGCUGAGCUGUUUCGCCGUUUUUCCGUAGUUCGGGCUGCGGUGACUGGUGUGUAAACUUUGAUUAAAUCAAUGUGAUUAAAACAGGCGUUUGCUUGAAUGCUUUAUCAUGGAAUAAUAGAAUAUGACUUCGGUCCAUUCUGUUGGUCUUGGGAUCGAAGUAAUGAUUAAAAGGAACAACUCGGGGGCAUCCGUAUCGCUGCGUGAGAGGUGAAAUUCUUGGACCGCAGCGAGACGACCUAUUGCGAAAGCAUUUGCCAAGAAUGUUUUCAUUAAUCAAGAACGAAAGUCAGAGGAUCGAAGGCGAUUAGAUACCGCCCUAGUUCUGACCGUAAACUAUGCCAACUAGCGAUCAGGUGGUGGUAGUUUAGCCCUGCCUGGGAGCUUCUCGGAAACGAAAGUCUUCGGGUUCCGGGGGUAGUAUGGUUGCAAAUCUGAAACUUAAAGGAAUUGACGGAAGGGCACCACCAGGAGUGGAGCCUGCGGCUUAAUUUGACUCAACACGGGAAAUCUCACCCGGACCGGACACUAUAAUGAUUGACAGAUUGAUAGUUCUUUCUUGAUUUGGUGGUUGGUGGUGCAUGGCCGUUCUUAGUUCGUGGAUUGAUCUGUCUGGUUUAUUCCGAUAACGAACGAGACUCUAACCUGCUAACUAGUGAUGCGUUAAUUGAGACGUACCUACUUCUUAGAGGGAUAAGCGGUGUUCAACCGCAUGAGAUUGAGUAAUAACAGGUCUGUGAUGCCCUUAGAUGUUCGGGGCUGCACGCGCGCUACACUGGAAAGUGCAGCAAGCGUUAUUAACCUUGGCCGAAAGGUCUGGGUAAUCUUUUGAAAGCUUUUCGUGUUUGGAAUAGAGGAUUGAAAUUAUUUCUCUUGAACGAGGAAUUAGAGCUCGGUACCCGGGGAUCCUCUAGAGUCGACCUGCAGGCAUGCAAGCUUGAGUAUCUAUAUUCACUAAUCCUUUUAUAUUCUUAUAUAUA
Molecule: ribosomal RNA, 1212 nt
Filed under: Pristionchus pacificus
Lineage: Eukaryota; Metazoa; Nematoda; Chromadorea; Rhabditida; Neodiplogasteridae
Description: SSU rRNA
Rfam family: Eukaryotic small subunit ribosomal RNA
Source: RNAcentral